AGUGAACGCUGGCGGUAGGCCUAACACAUGCAAGUCGAACGGCAGCACAGUAAGAGCUUGCUCUUACGGGUGGCGAGUGGCGGACGGGUGAGGAAUACAUCGGAAUCUACUUUUUCGUGGGGGAUAACGUAGGGAAACUUACGCUAAUACCGCAUACGACCUACGGGUGAAAGCAGGGGAUCUUCGGACCUUGCGCGAUUGAAUGAGCCGAUGUCGGAUUAGCUAGUUGGCGGGGUAAAGGCCCACCAAGGCGACGAUCCGUAGCUGGUCUGAGAGGAUGAUCAGCCACACUGGAACUGAGACACGGUCCAGACUCCUACGGGAGGCAGUAGUGGGGAAUAUUGGACAAUGGGCGCAAGCCUGAUCCAGCCAUACCGCGUGGGCGAAGAAGGCCUUCGGGUUGUAAAGCCCUUUUGUUGGGAAAGAAAAGCAGCAGGUUAAUACCCCGCUGUUCUGACGGUACCCAAAGAAUAAGCACCGGCUAACUUCGUG
Molecule: ribosomal RNA, 492 nt
Filed under: uncultured bacterium
Lineage: Bacteria
Description: partial 16S ribosomal RNA
Rfam family: Bacterial small subunit ribosomal RNA
Source: RNAcentral